Molecule: ribosomal RNA, 405 nt
Filed under: uncultured bacterium
Lineage: Bacteria
Description: partial 16S ribosomal RNA
Rfam family: Bacterial small subunit ribosomal RNA
Source: RNAcentral
GAUGAACGCUGGCGGCGUGCCUAAUACAUGCAAGUCGAGCGAAGCGGGGACAGGUGAGUAACACGUGGAUAACCUCCUAUAAGACUGGGAUCACUUGUGGGAACCGGAGCUAAACCCGGUACUGAGAAAUCGAUCCGCGCUGCAUUAGCUAGUUGGUAAGGUAACGGCUUACCAAGGCAACGAUGCAUAGCCGACCUGAGCGGGUGAUCGGCCACACUGGAACUGAGACACGGUCCAAACUCCUACGGGAGGCAGCAGUAGGGAAUCUUCCGCAAUGGGCGAAAGCCUGACGGAGCAACGCCGCGUGAGUGAAGAAGGUCUUCGGAUCGUAAAACUCUGUUAUUAGGGAAGCGGUAUCCAACCAGAAAGUCACGGCUAACUACGUGCCAGCAGCCGCGGUAAUAC